UACAGAGGGGGCAAGCGUUGUUCGGAAUUACUGGGUGUAAAGGGUUCGUAGGCGGUGUGGCAAGUCGGGAGUGAAAUCUCUGAGCUUAACUCAGGGCCUGCUUCCGAAACUGCUGUGCUAGAGUGUGGGAGAGGCGCGUGGAAUUGCAGGUGUAGCGGUGAAAUGCGUAGAUAUCUGCAGGAACACCCGUGGCGAAAGCGGCGCGCUGGACCACUACUGACGCUGAGGAACGAAAGCUAGGGGAGCAAACAGG
This 253-nucleotide ribosomal RNA is filed under the name uncultured bacterium. RNAcentral's name for it is "partial 16S ribosomal RNA". It matches the Rfam family "Bacterial small subunit ribosomal RNA", at positions 524 to 776 of the family's 1533-position model. The record is from RNAcentral.